ACUAUUUUGGCAGAUUAGUGCGGUGGAUUUAGAAUCUAUAAAUAUGAUUUAUCAUAAAUAGUA
RNAcentral lists this transfer RNA (63 nucleotides) under Eremiaphila sp. RNAcentral describes it as "tRNA-Leu". It matches the Rfam family "tRNA". Rfam says of the family: Transfer RNA (tRNA) molecules are approximately 80 nucleotides in length. Their secondary structure includes four short double-helical elements and three loops (D, anti-codon, and T loops). Further hydrogen bonds mediate the characteristic L-shaped molecular structure. tRNAs have two regions of fundamental functional importance: the anti-codon, which is responsible for specific mRNA codon recognition, and the 3' end, to which the tRNAs corresponding amino acid is attached (by aminoacyl-tRNA synthetases). tRNAs cope with the degeneracy of the genetic code in two manners: having more than one tRNA (with a specific anti-codon) for a particular amino acid; and 'wobble' base-pairing, i.e. permitting non-standard base-pairing at the 3rd anti-codon position. The record is from RNAcentral. Lineage: Eukaryota; Metazoa; Arthropoda; Insecta; Mantodea; Eremiaphilidae.